UUUUUUUUUUUUUUUUUUUUUUUUGUAUUUUUUGCAGAGACAGGGUUUCACCAUGUUAGCCAGGAUGGUGUUGACCUCCUGACCUCAUGAUCCACCUGCCUCGGCCUCCCAAAGUGCUGGGAUUACAGGCGUGAGCCACUGCGCCCAGCCAUGUCUCACAUUUUCUUUAUCCAUUCAUUUGUUGAUGGACACAGGUUGAUUUCAUAUCUUGGCUAUUUUGAAUAGUGCUGCAAUAAACCUUGGGAUGUAGGUAUUCCUUUGAUAUACUGAUUUCCUUUGGAUAAAUACCUAAUAGUGAAAGUGCUGGAUCAUAGAAAAAACAAUUUUAAAUUUUGAAUUUUUUUUUUAAUGAUCUUACUAGUAAAGUAUACUAGUAAAUCAGCAAGUUCUGCUAAGGCAGUAGAAGUCUGCUCAAAUAAUGUUUCCAUUUCCAAUGACUCAUUAAGUACAAUAAUUACAACAAUUACCAUCACUUCUGUUUCCCUCAUGCUUUCUAUUGAUCCACAUACUCUGCCCCUAAAACUGCGCUAAGCACUUAACAAGGAAUUCACAUACUAAUGUGUGGGGUAUCUGCAUGACCCCGCCACAGAAUAAGAGAAAUAAAUUGAUCUUUUUUUCCAUUGGCAAUGGAAUGACAAUAAUUUUUACUUUUCUUUUUCCUUGUUGCCAUCCAUAGAUCUAUACCCAUUAGCAAUCACAGAAAAAGAGCAGUAGGGGAGGAGUUCAAGAAGAGAUGAGAGAUAGGAAAGAAGCAUUAUAAUUCGGCAAAAUGUGAGUAAGGGAACCUCCCUUUUUCUAACCCCUGGAAGCUCUGGCUAGAGCUCAUCUUGCCUCCAGAUGCAGAAAGCAGAUUCUACAACAUAGAGUCACUGUCUACAGCCAUAUCACCCUGAAUGCACCUAAUCUCAGAGGCUAAGCAGGGCCUGACCUGGUUUAUACUUGAAUGGGAGCCACCACAGCAUCGCUGAUGCAAUCUCUAGAUUAAGUGGUAGCUGGGCCCAAUGUGAGUUUUUGGCAAGAGGAAAAUAAUAGAAAAGGAAGAGAAAGAGGCAUGUGUUUCUGCUCCUGUUGAAAUACUAUUUGUCCUUUAAGGCUGCCUGCUCUGUGAAGUUUUCUUCUAAUUCUGUCCCAUCCCACUCACCCCUGUCAGACAUAACUACUCUUCCUCCAUCCUGCCAUAGACAUGUGUGAUAAAAGAAAUCAAAGAGGACUAUCAGUCUUCUGUGCAUAGUGAGGGUGCAUGUGUCUAAAGCAGAUUGCAGAAAUGUUUGCAAUUCUUUUCCCCUACUCCCAUCAAGAGCUGGAGCUCUUCCCCACUGCUGGAUUUGGCCUUGUAACUUGCUGGGGCCAACAGAACAUGUUACGUGUAUUCUAAGCCUGUCUUCUAGAGGCUUUGCAAGCUGCCCCUUGCCUCCCUGGAACCCUGCCUCUGCCACCUGAACAAGCCCAAGUCUGCCUGGGAGAGAAUGAGAGAGUAUGCAGAGAAAGACUCUAGUCAUCCAGGCUAUCACUGACCAGCCUGGCCCAUCAGCCAGCCU
This 1538-nucleotide long non-coding RNA is filed under the name Macaca fascicularis (crab-eating macaque). RNAcentral describes it as "lncRNA (ENSMFAG00000062272.1)". The record is from RNAcentral. Lineage: Eukaryota; Metazoa; Chordata; Mammalia; Primates; Cercopithecidae.